CAGCCGCCACGGUAAUACGGAGGGUGCAAGCGUUAAUCGGAAUUACUGGGCGUAAAGCGCACGCAGGCGGUCUGUCAAGUCGGAUGUGAAAUCCCCGGGCUCAACCUGGGAACUGCAUUCGAAACUGGCAGGCUAGAGUCUUGUAGAGGGGGGUAGAAUUCCAGGUGUAGCGGUGAAAUGCGUAGAGAUCUGGAGGAAUACCGGUGGCGAAGGCGGCCCCCUGGACAAAGACUGACGCUCAGGUGCGAAAGCGUGGGGAGCAAACAGGAUUAGAUACCCCAGUAGUCCCUGUCUCUUAUAC
This 301-nucleotide ribosomal RNA is filed under the name uncultured bacterium. RNAcentral's name for it is "partial 16S ribosomal RNA". It matches the Rfam family "Bacterial small subunit ribosomal RNA", at positions 509 to 807 of the family's 1533-position model. The record is from RNAcentral.